RNAcentral lists this ribosomal RNA (384 nucleotides) under Triticum aestivum (bread wheat). Its description in RNAcentral is "partial small subunit ribosomal RNA". Lineage: Eukaryota; Viridiplantae; Streptophyta; Magnoliopsida; Poales; Poaceae. The record is from RNAcentral.
AUGGAAGAGCAAUGGAGACUUACAGGUUUCUAUGGUGAGCCUAAAUGGGAGGACAAACAUUUGUCUUGGAGCUGCUUAUGUGGUCUAUCUCAACAGAACCAACUCCCAUGGGUAGUUGUGGGUGACUUCAACGAGAUCUUAUACUCGCAUGAGAAGGAGGGGGGAGCACCGAGGCCAGUUGGUAUGAUGCAAAACUUCAGAGAUGGACUGGUUGAUUGUGAACUCGAGGACAUGGGGUUUGUUGGUGAGCAGUUCACGUGGCGAAGGCGCAGAUUGAGGGAACGUCUGGACAGAACAGUAUGCAAUGGAGCAUUCUUUGGACUGGUUCCCACUGCUGUAGUUACAAAUGCACCCCACACAAAAUCGGAUCAUAGACCGGUGGUG